Trichoplusia ni (cabbage looper) is the source of this 1058-nucleotide long non-coding RNA. RefSeq lists it as uncharacterized. NCBI's taxonomy places the organism in Eukaryota, Metazoa, Arthropoda, Insecta, Lepidoptera, Noctuidae. The transcript has 3 exons. The record is from RefSeq and is a predicted model, not a curated record.
CCCGUUCCGAAUCCAUUCAUAAAACCGUCUGCACGCCCAGCCAUUUCAUUCCGAACAGAUUUCCCUAACAAUUUCACACGAGGUGAAAAGACCGGGAAAAAGGACCAAAAACCAUCAGCGACUAAUAAAAGCGUCUUUAUUACAAAUUUCAUGGCGGCCGGAUAUCGAACACUGCAUGACAUAGUGGCAUCGGUGUUUGUAAAUCAAAACAGCGAGGGUGGGAGCGCGGGGCCAGGCCGUCUAGUCUGCCGCCCGACGCCGGCCGACGCGCACCGCCGCGGUCCUCCGAUACGCGAUUACGAUAUGGAACUGUGUCGUGUGUUUUGUUAAACUCGGAUUAAGAUAUCGAAACACAAUGCUAUAAAAUGCGAAUAGCAACAGUGCCUCUCAUCUCGUUAACGUACGCAGAAUGUGAGGGGAGCUAGCCAGUGACGUGAUGCAACUUGUAAUGCUAAACUUUUUAAUCAUGUUCGACGUGGUGUUCAUAUUCUUCCUGUUCCUGAUUGCUGUGACUUGUGUUAUGAACUACAUGCCGGGCCGGAGCAAGCGCUCGGAGGUGACGGAGGACGAGGUGGAAGAUGACGUCAUCCCGCCGCCGCCAUUGUUCGCUGGUGAUGACGAGGUUCCUACUACCAGCCGGGACACGUACGUCGUGAUCUCGCCCCCGCUAGACAACGUUAGAGCGAAGGACAGCUGUCCUGUGCAUGUGGUGUAGUAUAAGCACUGAUAUAAUAUAUCAACGUAGGAGUUUAUUACGAAGAAGCCUUAUGAGAAUGUAGGUGUCGAAAUGUAGACAUUUUUUACCAAUUAGUCGAGUUUUAAAUGAAUUCUUGUUAUGUAAAGACUAAGAUGGUGGAACACGGGACUCAAGUAUUUGAGUUGGUCUGUAUCAUGGGUACUUAUCAGAGUCAACUUCUUUCGAUUGCACUUUAUCGAGAAAUAGUAAAUAUACAUAGAGCUGUAAAGCGAACUUACAUGGUUACAAUGUAUAGAGGCCGUAUUUAUAAAUUGAAUAUAAAGUAAAUAGUCGCAAUGUUUAAAGAGUGUAGUUAAGAAAA